Long non-coding RNA from Rattus norvegicus (Norway rat), 679 nucleotides. RefSeq lists it as uncharacterized. The record is from RefSeq and is a predicted model, not a curated record. NCBI's taxonomy places the organism in Eukaryota, Metazoa, Chordata, Mammalia, Rodentia, Muridae.
GCGAAGGCGGGGUAUAUUUGGGUUUAGAGGUUGAAAGCGCAGUCUAUCAUGGUGGUGGGGGAGGGGGAGGUACGUGGUCACGUAGGAGCCCCGAAGCAGAGAGAGAUGAAUGCUGGUGCCUGGCUCAAAAAUCUUCUCUUUUACUCAGUGCAGAACUCCAGCCUCAGGCAUGAUGCCACCCACAGUUAGAACGGAUAUUUCCAUCUCAAUUAACAUCAUCUAGAAACUCCUAAACAGACAUGCCCAGGGGGUUAUUUUCACGGUGGUGAUUCUAAAUCCCGUCAAAAUGACAUUCAAGAUUAGCCAUCCCAGCAGAUAAAUGGGAACGAGGAUCCCCGUUACCUCUUCGGAAAGAACACUUCCCUGUCUUCUAGAUUGUGCCGUGGUCAGCAUUCUUGGAUCACCGGCCCCUCUCACCCACCCCAAGAGCCUACUCCAUGAAGGGAUGGGUCUAGAUAUGCCUUGGGUCUAGAUUUUUCCACAUUUUGAAGUAAUGACAGAAAAUAACAUGCCGAACCACAGAGACCUGGCUUUUUAACAAGGACACUGUGGCCAAAGACAUGAUGAUGGUGGAAAACUAGAGCCUGCCAGCAGUGGGCAGGCUCCUCCGGCUUGGAUCCGAGCCUGUUGUUUAGAAGAAAAACGGUGUCUUCAAGUAAAGCCUGGCAUGGUUUUUGUU